UACGGAGGGUGCAAGCGUUAUCCGGAUUCACUGGGUUUAAAGGGUGCGUAGGUGGGCAGUUAAGUCAGUGGUGAAAUCUCCGGGCUCAACCCGGAAACUGCCAUUGAUACUAUCUGUCUUGAAUAUCGUGGAGGUAAGCGGAAUAUGUCAUGUAGCGGUGAAAUGCUUAGAUAUGACAUAGAACACCAAUUGCGAAGGCAGCUUACUACCCGAAUAUUGACACUGAGGCACGAAAGCGUGGGGAUCAAACAGG
RNAcentral lists this ribosomal RNA (253 nucleotides) under uncultured bacterium. RNAcentral's name for it is "partial 16S ribosomal RNA". It matches the Rfam family "Bacterial small subunit ribosomal RNA", at positions 524 to 776 of the family's 1533-position model. The record is from RNAcentral.